This 228-nucleotide unclassified non-coding RNA is filed under the name Hevea brasiliensis (rubber tree). Lineage: Eukaryota; Viridiplantae; Streptophyta; Magnoliopsida; Malpighiales; Euphorbiaceae. The record is from RNAcentral.
UCCCUCUUGUUUCUUCACUCACUUCAAUUUCUCUUGCUUUUUCUCCAUCAUCACUCUCGCUGAUAUGGCUCUUGAAGCUCUGAAUUCCCCAUCUUCUCUGUUGCAUAAUGAUAUAGACCUUCAUCCCCAUGAACCUUGGGUUAAGAGAAAACGAACUAAGCGUUCACGCUUGGAAUUGGAAGAUUCCCAUACUGAGGAGGAAUACUUAGCUCUCUGCCUUCUCAUGCU